CGGCCUCACACCUCAGGAUAGGGCCUCUGGGGUCCAGAGAAGCGCCUCCAGCCAGAGUAAACGGGUGGGCUGGGAUCCCAAGAGAAGGGGGACACCGGCGUUAACACACUCCGACAGCGCCAAGCCCUGAACACGGCGUCCUUGCCUGCGCGAUGGGCAGGACUGCACGCCCCGCGCCCCAGCAGGGGAGACCCAGGCUCCGCAGGGUGGGCUGCCCCGGGCUGCAGCAUGCGGCCGCUGGGUCCGCGUCCCCCUGCAAGACCGCGGGCUCCCUGCGUCCAGGAGCGGCUGCGUGAGGUUUGGUCUGUGCUUACCGCUGAGGGGAUGUGUCUUUCCGACCAUAACCUGGACCUUCUGGAGAAAGAUUCCAGGUCUCCUGUCCCGCCUUGUCCCUGCCGGUCCUCUCCUCAGGAUCCUGGGUCCCUCCUGCCCGACUGUGGGAUCGGGUGCAGGUCCCUCUGGCUGCUGUGUGGAAACUACGUCGGGGUAGGGAGGGCAACAAAGUAGGAGCUGUGGCCGGUAGGUCGUGGUCCAGCUGGAAGAUGGCCAUGCAGCCUGGGGGUGCAGUCUUACGGAGGAGUCCACUUGGUGUCGGGGCAUAUCCGUUUUUGGAGUUGCAUUGUAGUUCACGGUAUGGAGGAGUCAUAAUUUACUUAACCAGUGAUGGGUCCAGUCUUGCAAACUUCUGUGGGUGGACCCCCCACGGGCCAGUGCUGUGGCCAGGUCCAGAACGAGGCAGGGGCCAAAGGCCAUUGGUUAUGAUGUUGCAGGAAGAAGAGCAGGACUGGCUGCAUCGCUUCGGCUGGUGACGCCGUGUGGAAAAGACCCCACGUUUGUGUGGACGGGGUCCGACAGGAUGCAGACGAAUGGGAAACGAUGCUGGCUUAGGUUGGGGGAUUGUCCUACCCACGCUCAAGAGCAACUGCUGUCAAGAUAGCAAAGGAAUGUUUUUAUACCAUGUUUAUAAUUUUAACAAGCUACAUGUUAAAAUGUAAAGCACAUGUGUAAUGCCCACCCUCUUGACCCCUGUCCCUGUGGGAUGGGGACUGUGCCUGCCCUGCGCCUCCAUGCCCCGUCUGUGUGGCCUGCUUCAUGGCCACCCGGACAGUGCGCACUGUGACAGGUCUCAUGUUCAGAUUACCUCCACCACCCAUCCCUCUCCCAACAAAGUCACAAGGGCUUGUGGGACCACUUCACUACCCCCGUGCCCCUCACAGAGAGCCAGCCGUCCUGUAGCUCAGUUCCAGGGCUCUCUGUUUUCCACAGCAAGGGAAAGGGAGGAAACUGAGAUUUAAUGAGCAUCUACUGGGCACCAGAAUGCAGGGAAAAUAAGGGGCUGAAUUAGAGGGUAAAGUCAGUGGUAAAUUGGUAUUCAGAAAUCAUGUCAUCAAGUCUGACAUAUUCUUGAAAGUGGGCAGCAAAUUUGAAACUGAAUUUCAUGGUGGCCAAAGCAGAUCAGCUUAGAAAACGCAGAGUCGUGAAUAUAUGCAUUCUUCCUUUAUGACAAAGCUGGCAAAGCAGUAGGAAAGGAAGGGCUUUUUAGUAAACAGAGCUGAAUUAUUGAGUGUUUAAAUGGGAGAAAACAAACGUUGACCCCCGUCUGACACCAGACACGAAAGAAUCAAGUGGAUUGGGUUCAGACAAAGCAACACAUCUUUAAAAGAUAAUACGGGUGUAUCAGUCAGGGUUCAAUGAGAGAAGCAGGACCAGUAGGUGGUCAUGUGCGUGCAUGUGUGUGUGCGUGUGUGUGUCUUUAUCACAUGACUUACACAGUUGUGGGGACUGGAGAAGCAAGUCUGAGGUCUUGAAGUCUGCCGGGCAGUUGGUCAGGAAGGAAGACCCAGUGGCUGUGGAGUGUGGCGCAGGGAAUGGCUGAGCCCUUUCCUUUGUAAGGGCCUUCCCACAGAUCGAGUCCGGCCCCUCAGGAUACGCUCCCUUUGCAUUAGCUGACUUGGGGCUUCAGUCACGUCUGCGAAUCCCUUCCCAGUGCUACCGGGCCAGCGUUUGGACAACUGGGGAAGGUGUGAGCGCUCCGUGCUUGCUGCCUCUCUUCUGUCCUCCAGCUCCCAGGAGAGACUAUCCCUUGUCACCCCUGUGGACCCCCCCAACUGAAAGCCUAACUAGAAAGGGUGUUCUGAGGACUGCAGGUCAGCCCAGCCAAGCCAUCACACACAAGAAAAUAGCUUUAUGAUUUUAGGGUGGCCGGAGGUUUUUAAAGCAGGAUAGGAAAAGCACAAACCAUAAAGAGACUGAUAAAUUGUGCUACGUUAAAAUUAAGAAUGUCUGUUCAUCAAAGAUACCAUUAAGAAUAUCCAAAGGCAAGCUAAAGCUGGGAGAAGGUAUUUGCAGCACAUAUAACUGAGCGG
Molecule: long non-coding RNA, 2366 nt
Organism: Equus caballus (horse)
Lineage: Eukaryota; Metazoa; Chordata; Mammalia; Perissodactyla; Equidae
Source: Ensembl